This 301-nucleotide ribosomal RNA is filed under the name uncultured bacterium. Its description in RNAcentral is "partial 16S ribosomal RNA". It matches the Rfam family "Bacterial small subunit ribosomal RNA", at positions 509 to 807 of the family's 1533-position model. The record is from RNAcentral.
CAGUCGCCACGGGAAUACGGAGGGUGCAAGCGUUAAUCGGAAUUACUGGGCGUAAAGCGCACGCAGGCGGUUUGUUAAGUCAGAUGUGAAAUCCCCGAGCUUAACUUGGGAACUGCAUUUGAAACUGGCAAGCUAGAGUCUUGUAGAGGGGGGUAGAAUUCCAGGUGUAGCGGUGAAAUGCGUAGAGAUCGGGAGGAACAUCAGUGGCGAAGGCGGCCAUCUGGGACAACACUGACGCUGAGGCACGAAAGCGUGGGGAGCAAACAGGAUUAGAUACCCCGGUAGUCCCUGUCUCUUAUAC